Molecule: ribosomal RNA, 262 nt
Filed under: uncultured bacterium
Lineage: Bacteria
Description: partial 16S ribosomal RNA
Rfam family: Bacterial small subunit ribosomal RNA
Source: RNAcentral
CUUAGUGGCGGACGGGUGAGUAACGCGUGGUAACCUGCCUUGCACUGGGGGAUAACACUUAGAAAUAGGUGCUAAUACCGCAUAAGCGCACGGUCCUGCAUGGGACAGUGUGAAAAACUCCGGUGGUGCAAGAUGGACCCGCGUCUGGUUAGCUGGUUGGCGGGGUAAAGGCCCACCAAGGCGACGAUCAGUAGCCGGCCUGAGAGGGUGGACGGCCACAUUGGGACUGAGACACGGCCCAAACUCCUACGGGAGGCAGCAG